UGAUAGAGGUUGCGGGAACCAAGAGUAACUCGUCCGGCACAGGCACUGCGGGCGAGGGAAAGGGGGGACCGCCGAGGAGCGGGGCUGAGCGCCUGAUCGGGUCCGUGUCCGGGGCCGUGGAGAACAUCCGCGGCACUGUCGUUCCCCAGGGAACGGAGAGCUGUCAG
This 167-nucleotide non-coding RNA is filed under the name bovine gut metagenome. RNAcentral describes it as "Lysine riboswitch". It matches the Rfam family "Lysine riboswitch aptamer". From Rfam's summary of the family: Riboswitches are metabolite binding domains within certain messenger RNAs that serve as precision sensors for their corresponding targets. Allosteric rearrangement of mRNA structure is mediated by ligand binding, and this results in modulation of gene expression. The record is from RNAcentral.